AAAAUGCGAUAAGUAAUGUGAAUUGCAGAAUUCAGUGAAUCAUCGAAUCUUUGAACGCACAUUGCGCCCGCCAGUAUUCUGGCGGGCAUGCCUGUUCGAGCGUCAUUUCAACCCUCAAGCUCAGCUUGGUGUUGGGACUCGCGGUAACCCGCGUUCCCCAAAUCGAUUGGCGGUCACGUCGGGCUUCCAUAGCGUAGUAAUCAUACACCUCGUUACUGGUAAUCGUCGCGGCCACGCCGUAAAACCCCAACUUCUGAAUGUUGACCUCGGAUCAGGUAGGAAUACCCGCUGAACUUAAGC
Molecule: unclassified non-coding RNA, 300 nt
Filed under: plant metagenome
Description: partial contains 5.8S ribosomal RNA, internal transcribed spacer 2, and large subunit ribosomal RNA
Rfam family: 5.8S ribosomal RNA (bases 1-105)
Source: RNAcentral